Hyaena hyaena (striped hyena) is the source of this 104-nucleotide small nuclear RNA. The record is from RefSeq and is a predicted model, not a curated record. NCBI's taxonomy places the organism in Eukaryota, Metazoa, Chordata, Mammalia, Carnivora, Hyaenidae.
GUGCUCACUUCAGCAGCACAUAUACUAAAGUUGGAACAAUACAGAGAUUAGCAUGACCCAUGCACAAGGACGACAUGUAAAUUCGUGAAGCGUUCCAUAUUAAA